Non-coding RNA from Callithrix jacchus (white-tufted-ear marmoset), 2014 nucleotides. NCBI's taxonomy places the organism in Eukaryota, Metazoa, Chordata, Mammalia, Primates, Cebidae. The record is from RefSeq and is a predicted model, not a curated record.
AAAGUACUGGGAUUACAGGCAUGAGCCACUGUGCCCGGCUCGUGAAAAAAAUAUUUUCGGAAGAGGAAUACAAGCAGGCUGUGGAGCAAUCACUUGCUAGAGAAAUUUCCAAGACUAAAAGGAAGCCAAGUGUUAAUAUCCAAGACAAUGGAAAAAAAGGCCUCAAGGGCAUUUCAGAAAUCAUUAGAGCAGCCCCUCCCAUCACAGACCCAGAGCCUAGGAGGAAAGACUUGUUACCUGGGCCAGGCCCAGGGUCCUGCUGCCCUGCCCAGCUUUGAGACAGAGCUGCCCACAUCCCAGCUGCUCCAUGUCUAGCUAUGGCUCAAAGGGCACCAGAUACGGCUUGGGCUGCCAUUCUGGAGUGUGCAACCCGUAAGCCUUGGCAGCUUCCAUGUGGCGUUAAGUCUGCAUGUGCACAGACUGCGCAUGAAGAAGGCUUGACAGCUUUCCCUAGAUUUCAGAGAAUGUAUGAGAAAGGCUGGGUGCCCAAGGCAGAAGCCUGCCACAGGGGAGGAGAGAUGUGGAAUUGGAAUCCCCACACAGAGUCCCCAUCAGGACACUGCCUAGUGGAGCUGUGGAAAGGGGACUGCCAUGCUCCAGACCUCAGAACGGUAGAGCCAUGGGCAGCUUGCCUCCUGAACCUGGAAAAGCUGCAGGCACUCAACUUCAACCAAGAGCACCCCCAGGGGCUGCACCCUGCAAAGCCACAAGGCCAGAGCUCCCCAGUGGGACAGGGAGUCAAAGAAGAUUAUUUCAAAACUUUAAGAUUUAAUGACUGCCCUGCUGGAUUUAGGACUUGUAUGGGGUCUCUUGCCUCUUUCUUUUGGCAAAUUUCUCUCUUUAAAAAUGAGAAUGUUUAUUUGAUGCCUGUACUACCACCGUAUCUGGGAAGUAAGUAACUUGUCUUUCAUUUCACAGGCUCAGAGGUGGAAGAAAUUCAUCUCUGGGUGAGACUUUGGACUUGGGACUUUUGACUGAUUGAUAGUGAAACAAGGUUUCACCACGUUGGUCAGGCUGGUCUUGAACUCCCGACCUCAGGUGAUCCGCCCGCCUUGGCGUCCAAAGUGCUUGGAUUACAGGUAUGAACUACCACGUCUGGCUGCUCUCUCUCUCACCAUGUGAGACACCUGCUUCCCUUUGCCUUCUACCAUGAUCGCAAGCUUCCUGAGGCCUUCACAAGGAACAGAUGCUGGUGUCAUACUUCCUGUACAGCCUGCAGAACCAUGAGCCAAUGAAACUCUUUUCUUUAUGAAUUACCCAGUGUCAGGCAUUUCUUCAUAGCAAUGCAAAUGGAGUAACACAAGGACUCUGGUUCCCCAGGAUGCAGACCCUGAGACAAAGGUUAGAGGACACACACUUGAAUGUGUGUGUGUGGGGGGGGUGCCCACGGCAAACACCAGCAGAGGAAUGGAGAAGUGACACGGGAGGGAAGGAUGCCAAGAAUGGAGACGUCAUGGAACCAGUCACCACUGUGAGCAGUUAUAGCCCUCUGGAGAGCUCAGAGAGCCAGGCUAGAGUAUGCCUCAGAGUUGACCCACGCCAGCUGCCAGGCAGCAAGGGGUCUGUUCCGGCUCUCCCAGCUCUCCCACCACUGACUGCGAGUUUCUGAAGCCCUGGGAGCUGCCUUCAGUAGAGGAGGCUCAGCCGCUGUGGGUCGAUCUCUGAAGGCCAGGCCAGAAGGAGAGAAAAUGUGGCACGGCUUGGCAGUUCCCAGGGCCGCUCACAAGCCUUAGACUCUUCCCGGACUCCAGACCCCAGACAGCUCCGCUCCACCCUGCGGAUGACGGAGAGAAAGUUCCUUACAAGACCCUCACUUGGGGCAAGGUAGGAGGUACCAACUGGGGCGGGGCCUGGCUCCCCACUGAGCAGAGGUGUUGGCCAAGGCCCUCCCCCUAGUGGUAAGUACUCCCUUGGUUCGCCCUCCUAGCCGCUGCCAGACGACCCCGCCCCACGUCGGAAGCAACCUCGGAAACCUGCCUACCUGUUUCAUGCCCGCCCCCUACAGCCUUUCCUC